GACCACCGAGUUCAGUUUCCAGAAGCUUCGUACGUAGCUUUCUCCACGUUUUAGAUAGUGUUAUGUAUUUAUUUCUUACCUAUAGAAACCUGUCAGCUAAGAUCCGGACUACAACAAAGCACGUCUACUCUACUAUAUUCUUUUGCGAUAAUCAAUAGAUUCUUCUAACAUCGUAAAGGAAGACAAAAGAGUAUACAUACUUAGUUGUCGUCGUAUCUUUGUUGAGAAGUUUCUAAAUGGCACAUAGAAAGUACAUAAAACUAUAUGAAACCAAGGAGAAAUCAAUGAAACUUUUAGAGACUGAAUGAUGUUGUUAUCUUAGUUGUCUUCCACUAGAGAUGCAUAAUGGAAUCGUUAAUAAAAUUUGCCCCGCACAAAACGAAGGAUUAUUGCUCUUAUGCUUUAAACAUGUAUAUAAUAUUACACUACCUUUUAAGAUGCGAGGUAAGCUAAAUAAAUACUAGUGAUUAAGAAAUAUUACAACUGUCUUCUUCUUGCGUUGCUACUUGAUUCGACCACAUGAUCGCUACAAGGAUGUUCACUCAAUCUAUUUGUUGAUGACGAAGUAUCUUCCUCACCAGAUGAUGGGGUCAUCAAGUCAGCAUCAACCAAGGAUCAUGGAGGAGGCACCAAUAAGUCGACCAAGAUCCACGAGAGAACCAACCUAAGCAUACCAAAUACAUAUGUGCCUUUCAAGAAGCAUACCAGCCCAACCCGAAGAAUUUAAGCUACAAAUCAACUUAUUCCAAAAACUUAACUCAUCAAGGAAUCACGGAGAAGUGGAAUUGGUUCAAAAAUCUUUUCAGAUGAAGAUGAUAUUAAAGUUACAAAUCAGCAGAUUUCCAAAGAACCCGAUGGAGACCAACAGCUACGUAUUAGAGGAUUUCGACCUGACCAGAAGGAGUUAACCUACAAAGUUAAUUCUCAGAUAUUCUUGACUCAUAAGAUGUAGAAACUAGAGAAGAGUUUGGGGGAAAACUCUUUCUUAUGUCUUGUUGAUCUCAAUAGCAUUGAUACAAUGUAUAUAUAUGCAAUUUAGAAUAUGUUUUUCCUAAUUUGAAUAAGAAAUAGAUAAACAUGAAUAAGUAUAUAUAUAUUUCCUAUUUAGAAUAUUUAUUUAUUCAAAUUAGGUGAAACAUAAUCUAGGUUGUAUAUAUAUAUGUUAUACCAAUGCGAUUGAGAGCAACAAGACAUAAUAAAGAGUUUUCGAAAACUUUUUUCUAGUUUCUACAUAAGAGGAGAUCUGACAACUGGAAUAAAGUCAAAACCACGUUUGGUUUAGGAGAUAUUAAUUUUCUAAACCCGAGGAAUCCUACACUUGCCUUAUCUGGAAGCUGACGGG
This 1342-nucleotide non-coding RNA is filed under the name Arabidopsis thaliana (thale cress). Lineage: Eukaryota; Viridiplantae; Streptophyta; Magnoliopsida; Brassicales; Brassicaceae. The record is from RNAcentral.